RNAcentral lists this signal recognition particle RNA (299 nucleotides) under Aotus nancymaae (Ma's night monkey). RNAcentral's name for it is "Metazoan signal recognition particle RNA (ENSANAG00000009050.1)". It matches the Rfam family "Metazoan signal recognition particle RNA". From Rfam's summary of the family: The signal recognition particle (SRP) is a universally conserved ribonucleoprotein. Lineage: Eukaryota; Metazoa; Chordata; Mammalia; Primates; Aotidae. The record is from RNAcentral.
GCCAGGCACGGUGGCGCGUGCCUGUAGUCCCAGCUACUUGGGAGGCUGAGGCGGGAGGAUCACUUGAGCCCAGGAGUUCUGGGCUGUAGUGUGCUAUGCUGACUGGGUGUCUGCACUAAGUUCAGCAUCAAUAUGGUGAAAUCCUGGGAUCGGGAGACCACCAGGUUGCCUAAGGAGGGAUGAACCAGCCUAGGUCGGAAACAGAGCAGGUCAAAACUCCUGCGUUGAUCAGUAGUGAGAUGACACCUGUGAAUAGCCACUGCACUCCAGCCUGGGCAAUAUAGUGAGACCCCAUCUCU